Brassica napus (rape) is the source of this 1218-nucleotide long non-coding RNA. RefSeq lists it as uncharacterized. NCBI's taxonomy places the organism in Eukaryota, Viridiplantae, Streptophyta, Magnoliopsida, Brassicales, Brassicaceae. The transcript has 6 exons. The record is from RefSeq and is a predicted model, not a curated record.
AUAGAUCUCUCCAUCCAAAGCGAUGAUUCUGAAAAAACUCAAGAAAUAAAAACAAUAGGAUUGAGAAGUUAAAGGAUCAAAUUUUUCCAGAAAGAGAUCUUUCAAACAUGCAUUCUCUUCACAAUCGAUUCGUUCAAAGCAAGGUUUAACUACAGAUGAAGUUCACCUUUUCACAUAAUCCGACAAAAUAGAAGAGUUUCAUACUGCAAAGUCAGAGGAUGACUGAAGUCUCACACUAUAAAGAUAAGUGUUCUCUUAUAACAUAGAUUCUUUCUGUACUUUUGGAGCUUUUAGUAUAUUUUCUCUCUGAUUUUCUUAUAUUAUGCGUUUUCUAAUGAAUUUGUUUUAAAUGUUCUUCAUGGAAGUCCUGUAGUUGGAUAAAAUACAACAAAGAGGGAGCAAGUACGAAGUCUCAAACACUAAAGAUAAGUUUUCUCCUUUGUCUAUUGUCUUGAAGUUCUCGAUCAGUCACAUUAUUAACGAUUGCAGCAUAUAUUAAAUGUUACAAUACUAAUAUGGUAUUUUGUAUUAUAGUUCCCAAACGUUGUAUGGUGGAAUUCCAUAUUCUUUUCAAUCAUGAGCAACGGAAGAAGUGGUUAACAACAUAUACAGCACCAAAGCGUAUUCAGCAGAUCUUCUUAAACGCAGUAAGAGAAUUGGUAUUCUCAAUGAUAUACCGUGAGGUUUUCUAAAGGGGAGUCCACAAAGAUCAAUACAAAUGAAAAAGAUUGUAAACUUCAGAAAAUACCAAGUUUUGUCAUCUAAAGAGUGAAAAAAUCGAAACUGACUGAAGGAAUUACCAUGAAAUAGGACCCAAGAUGUGUAUCCAUACACUUAGAAGAUAAGUGUUUUACUCAAGACAGUUUAAUACAGAGAUGGCAUGAAAGAUAAUAAAUCCAAAUCAUGAAGGAUAAACGUAUGUACCACUUUGGCUUGGAUCAACAAUGUCGUUUUCCAUGGCCUAAUAUCAUCAACGUACGAAAUCUUUUGCUUGGAAGACAUUAUAUGAGAAACGUAUAGAAAACAGCGUGUUUGCUUUGAGGCUACAUGGUCAUUAUAUAUAAGAAACGUGAGGGCCGUGGGUUUAGGUUAUUCGCAUUCAAUUUAGUUAGAAAAUAUAGGCCGUGAGUUUAGGAAAAUCUCAUAUCUUGACCAUCAAGUUUAUUCAAGUUAUGGAAAAUUAGUUUUUCGGGUUUAUUAUAAUGGAUGUUUAAGUUA